CUAUUUGCUACAGAGCUAGAACCUUUAUUACUUUUUAAAAAUAAUUUCAACUUUUAUUUUAGAUUCAUAGGGUAUAUGUACAGUUUUGUUAUAUAAGAAUAUGGGCAAUGCCAAGGUUUGGGGUAUGAUUGAUCACAUCAGCUGGUUACUGAGCAAGCUACCUAAUAGUUAGUUUUACAACCCUUGCCCCCUUUUUUAGGAGUCCCCAUUGUCUAUUAUUGCCAACUGUAUCUCCAUGAAUAUACACUUAUAAGUGACAGCAAACAUGCAGUAUUUCGUUUUCUACAAUAUGAGGCUACAGUAACCAAAACAGCAUGAUUCUAGUGCAAAAACAGAUACACAGACCAAUGGAACCGAAUAGAGAACCCAGAAAUAAAGCCACACGCCUACAGGCAACUGGUCUUUGACAAAGUUGGCAAAAGUAAGCGAUGAGGAAAGAACUCCCCAUUCAGUAAAUGAUGCUGGGAUACCUGGCUAGCUAUAUGCAAAUCUCUGGCGUCUAAAACUUCACAGGUGGAAUGCAAAGUAAGGGCAGGAGACUAAGCCAACUCCAAGAUGGCCGCCAAUGAUCCCCACUUCCUGGUGUUCAUGUCUUUGUCUAAUUCCUUUUCUGUGUGGGCCUGAUCUAUUGACUCGCUUCUAAUGAAUAGAAUAUGUUUAAAAUGAUGUGAUGUCACUUUUGAGAUUAAGUUACAGAAGACUCCAUGUUGGGAGUUGUGCCUCACCCUCUUGGGGAAAGCCAGCUGUCAUGAUGUGAGGAAAACACUCUUCUGCUUUUUUCUUCCUCACUCACUUAUCCUAGUGCACUUCUACUAUUUUCUUUUCCAGAUGUGAUUAGGAACUCUUUAUGAACCAGAAAAGAGAAAUCUUGCACUGAUUGGAAUAUGGCAGCCACUCACCAUCUCCCCUGUCUGCUCUCACUCAGUUUAUGUGACCCAAUGGGAAUGGAGAAUCUCAGGCAUAAAACCAACUGCUUCGUGGGUUACUCUGGAAAAUUCUAAACUGAAGCUUUUUGAGAAAGGCGACAUUACCUCAGAACUUCCACAUGUAGCUACUGUGGAGUUUCUGUUUAUGUGAAUGGAUAUUUUCACCAGAUAUUGGAAACAUGCUGAAGCUGGAUUCCAGUGCAAUAAAGGCAACUCAUUUAGCCAUUGGCCUGUGAUACUAUGAGAAAUACAGUUAAAUUAGACGAAUGCUCCACCAGGAAUUGUGGCCAAAAUAAAUGAUCAUUUUUUAAAAAAGCUAAGGCAGAGACCAGCUAAAUCUAUUUUCUGUGGCUUUUCACAGUACCAACUUUUCCUAUAUAAUUCCAAGUGAUGAUAUGGAGAGAAAGUAGGAAGGUGGUUGCCAUCUAAUAUCAAGAGAGUUGAGAAUGACCCUCGGGAUGGGAGAAGGUGGUAAGAUACCUACCUUCACCUAAACAGGUUGCUUCCCAGAGACUUAAAUGCUUCUUUUAUAUGGUACUCAUUUAACCCUCACAGCAACACUUUUUUUUUUGAGACAAAAUCUCACUUUGUCGCCCAGGCUGGAGUGCAGUGGCACAAUCUCGGCUCACUGCAACCCCUGCCUCCAGGGUUCAAGCAAUUCUUGUGCAAAGAAAUUAAUUUAAAGAUGAUUAGUCCUGACUCAAAAAGUUGGAGAAACCUUUGAAAAGUGAGUAAAUAUUAUUACAAAUUUGUGGGUGAUUUUUCUUAUCUUUCCAUUUGGUAAUUCUAGGUGAUCUGGUUUAGUCAGCAUGACUAUGUGUCUUCUCUCCUCAGGCCUUCCUAAAGCCAAAGAAAACAAAAAUGGCAUUGAAUGCUAUGCUCCAGAAUUAAGCAAAUUCACUUUCUGCAUCCACCCUUCAAUAAAGGGCCCAAAACUACUCAUGUAUGCAAUUGUAGCAGGUGUUUUUCAGGACAAAAAUACCCUAAUAUUUCAAAAGUGUUCAAAAAUGGGAACCAGUGCUAGGGCAAACUCCAGAGAGAUCCCCAGUACUUUUCUGUGGCUGAAGAAGUCUGUUCACAGAAGGCUCCAUCUGGCUGUGGUAGACAGGUGCAAGAAGACACACAUGCAUACACACACGAUUUUUUUUUAUUUUCAGUAGAGAUGGGGUUUCACCAUGUUGGCCAGGAUGGCCUCAAUCUCCUGACCUCAUGACCCACCCACCCUGGCCUCCCAAAGUGCUGGGAUUAUAGACAUGAGCCACCACGCCCAGCCUAAAGCUCAAUUUUUAAAGGACAGCACCUGACUUCAAAAAUCCUAAGGUUCUUCUCUCAGUGCCUUGAGAUCUGCCAUCAUUUAAAACAUUUGUGUUGAAGACUCUUCAAUCUUAUUAAAAUAUUUGGCUAUAUUAAAGUCACAUGACAUUAGCCGAUGAUAAAUAUUUCUCCUCCCCAGCCCUGAUUUAUGAGGACCAGCUAGUAAAUAGUCUCUGAUUCAAACAGUGAUUAACCAUUAUUCAUGAAGCAAAAUGAGCCUGCCCUGUCAUGUCAUAAAUUUAAUGUAAUCUCAUCUUGUUUCACUUUUUUUAUUCACAGUUUCCUUCCAAAUUUCAUCUUCUCCCAUCUCCCUACAAACUUCAAAAGAGGUGUACAAAGGAACUUAAGAGCCAUUUUCUGCUUACCCACCUCUUUAGAAGGUGGGGAGGAUGACUCAGGAAAAUGCAGUAACUGACUGAUGCUAAUGCAGAGUUCCUGUUCUUGAACAGGAGAUUCAGGACAGGGUGAUGAGGGUGAGCCAGGAGAGAGAUCUUUCUCCAAGCCAAGUAAAGGCUACUGACUUCAGUGACCCUGGGACAUCACACCUGAGGGUAAUUGAAUGGUGACAAGCUUCUUCUUAUAAUCAAAAUAGUAUUAGCCUGAGUAUGAAAAAUGGAAGAAUUCUAGUGUAUUUCAUUUCCAACUUAACAUCUAUCAAGUAAUAUGUUGCUGGUUUCCAGCCUCAUUGCUAAAAAUAUUCUUAAGGUGAACAAGACUGCUAUCCUGGUUACCAGCUAUAGUAGAAUGAAUGAAAUUAAAUUAUUCUGUGAUAGUUAUCAAAUAACAAAAAGAAUUUUAUUUCAGGAAUUUGAGAACUAGAUUUGAAAUUUAAUCGUUUGCUCCAGAAUGCUAACAUAAACAGUAAUAAUAGAUAGAUGGGUGGGUAGAUAGAUAGAUAGAUAGAUAGAUAGAUAGAUAGAUAGAUAGGUAGAUAGAUAGAUAGAUGAUAGAGACUGCUAGAUAUAGUAUAGAAUAUUCUAUAGUCCUCAUAUGGUCUUUGCCACAUGUUUGUUUGCUUUUUUCAAAAUAUUUAAUGGAAGAAUAAGAAAUCUCAGUUGAUAUAAAAAUUCUAGUGAGUCGUGACCAUAUUUGAUAAAAAGGUCUUGGCAGAUGUAAUUAUGUAAAGGUUCUUGAGAUGAGAUCAUCCUAUAUUAUCUAGGUUGUCUCUAAAUCCAGUGACAAAUGUCCUUAUGACCGCAGAAAGACAGACACCAGGAGAAGAAGAAAAGUCCACGCAAAGAAAGAUGAAGGUAGAGGUAGGAGUUAUCCAGCCACAAGCCACAGAAUGCCUGGAACCUCCCUAAGCUGAAAGAGGCUAAGACAAAGUCCCCUCUAGAGCCAUCAGAGUGAGUGUGGCCCUGCCAGCACCUUGAGUUUGUACUCUGGCCUCCAGGACUCUAAGCAAAAAAAUUUCUGGGGGAUUUUUUAAGCCAUGAAGCUUUGUGGUCAUUUGUUAAAACAGCCCUAGGAAACUAGUAUCCACCUAUUUCAUGGUAUGUUAAGCAUGGAACCUAUUCCAGAGUAAGUACUUCAUCAUAUUAUUGGUGUUAUUCUUGCCCUUGCCAUGCUCCAAGUUCUCUAGAAGCUGGAAAAGGCAAGGAAGCCUACAGAUGGAAUUCAGCCCUAUAGAUACCUUGAUUUUAGCCCCUCAAGAUUCAUUUCAAACUUCUGAUCUCCAGAACUAUAAGAGAAGACAUUCAUGUUGUUAUAAGCCACAAAGUUUGCGGCAGCAAAUACAAAUGCAAAGGUGAAUAAGAAAGUAAUCUUAUUUCCUUUUACUAUAUCUCUUUCGAAAGGCAGCAUGAUAGAGUUGAAUGGCCCCAAAGAACUCCAUCAUCUGAGCUGACUCCUUGUCCCCUAAGACUACGUGGCAAGGGAGAGAGUCUUAAGGUCUCCAGAAGUUCUCAGGUGUCAUACACAAAUGCGGUCUGGCAGGAAGGAGAAAUUGAGCAAGUAAGUGCUUUUCAGAGUUUACAAAGGAAGUAGGCCAAAUGGCAGGAGAAAAUUCAAUGAUGAUGGAAAUCUGACAUGGAAGCCAAAAUUAGCCUUCUGGAAAAAGGAUGCUCCUUUAAGUUUCCAGUCUUAGCUUAAAGUUUUCUAUGGAUCAUGCAUCCUACUCCAUGCUAGAGCUGUGUUAGCUUGAAUGUGAAAUGAAUGUCUUAAAUAGGUUAUGGCUAAAGUGG
Molecule: long non-coding RNA, 4423 nt
Filed under: Homo sapiens (human)
Lineage: Eukaryota; Metazoa; Chordata; Mammalia; Primates; Hominidae
Description: non-protein coding lnc-MYC-3:2
Source: RNAcentral